Molecule: ribosomal RNA, 498 nt
Filed under: uncultured bacterium
Lineage: Bacteria
Description: partial 16S ribosomal RNA
Rfam family: Bacterial small subunit ribosomal RNA
Source: RNAcentral
GAUGAACGCUGGCGGCGUGCCUAACACAUGCAAGUCGAACGAAGCACUUUAGCUUGAUUCUUCGGAUGAAGGCUAAUGUGACUGAGUGGCGGACGGGUGAGUAACGCGUGGGUAACCUGCCUCAUACAGGGGGAUAACAGUUAGAAAUGACUGCUAAUACCGCAUAAGAUCACGGAGUCGCAUGACUCAGUGGGAAAAACUCCGGUGGUAUGAGAUGGACCCGCGUCUGAUUAGGUAGUUGGUGGGGUAACGGCCUACCAAGCCGACGAUCAGUAGCCGACCUGAGAGGGUGACCGGCCACAUUGGAACUGAGACACGGUCCAAACUCCUACGGGAGGCAGCAGUGGGGAAUAUUGCACAAUGGGCGAAAGCCUGAUGCAGCAACGCCGCGUGAGCGAUGAAGGCCUUCGGGUCGUAAAGCUCUGUCCUCAAGGAAGAAACAAAUGACGGUACCCUUGGAGGAAGCCCCGGCUAACUACGUGCCAGCAGCCGCCGAAA